Sapajus apella (tufted capuchin) is the source of this 11266-nucleotide long non-coding RNA. RefSeq lists it as uncharacterized. The transcript is spliced from 4 exons. The record is from RefSeq and is a predicted model, not a curated record. Lineage: Eukaryota; Metazoa; Chordata; Mammalia; Primates; Cebidae.
CAACAUGGAGCUGGAGGCCAUUAUCAUGACUAAAAUAACUUCAAAAUAGAAAACCAAAUACCACAUAUUCUCACUUCUAUGUGGGAGCUAAAUGAACAUACUGACACUAGGAACUCCAUUUCUAAAAUCUAUGGCUUUCUCUGCCACCUUGUGAAGAAGAUGCCUGCUUCUCCUUUGCCUUCCACCAUGACUGUAAGUUUCCCAAGGCCUCUGCAGCUAUGCAGAACUGAGUCAAUUAAACCUCUUUCCUUUAUAAAUUACCCAAUCUCAAGUAGUAUAUUCAUAGCAGUGUGAAAACAGCCCAGACUUGACUUCUACUACCCAAAAUGUCUAUGUCACAAAACUGCACUUCUACAUCCUGAAUCUAUAAAAAUAAAAAUUAAAAGUUAAAAAGUAAGGGAUUGGUGCAAUAGCUAUUUCAGUUGUAACAAAUUAUUUUGAAUGCUUUCUGUCUGGAACAUGAUAACAGACACAUGAAUUUUCAUAGAUUUAAUGGGUUUCUAUCAACUAUGAUAUUAUUCUCAUUGGCUCAAAGGUCCUACCUUUGGCCACUGGGAACCCCUUAAUGGUGUCCUUUUGAUACAAUAGCAUCAAUCUGAAAGCUUUCAUGUUUUCUGGCACAAGAUUCUCCUGCUCACCCUAUCCCUUCCUUGUCCCCAACAUGGAAGGAAGAGACAUUUCUCCAAGGAGCUCUGGCUGUGUUUAUGAGGAGUGGUGUUUGUAGCCAAAAAAUGGACUCUUGGCACACUUAUGCUGCUAUUGGGACAUUGCUUUUUGCCCAUUUCAGUGGUCAGUGCAAGAAAAGUGUCUUUUUUAAAAUCACAAAUUCAUACUGAUAUAUACAUUUCUAGUAUUUCUACCUAAUUUACUUGAUUUUAUAAUUGAUUCUCUUUUCUCUUAUAAUGAGCAGCAUUAUUUCUAAUCACACAAAUGUUGUCUACUUACUUGCUUUAUCUAACAAUUUAUAGAAAAGUAGUUUUACAAUAACAAUCCCAUUAUUAACACAAACAGUGAUACUACUGAAUACAAUUUCAAAUUUUUCUUUGCAGUUUUGUCUUUAGAAUGCAGGUCCUAAGCAUGUGUGUUCCAAGUAAUAAUUCUAAAUUCACUUGAAAUUACCUUUUACUAUGUGUAUGUAAGCACCUAUCCAAUGUAGACGUUAAUGCAAUUGUUUGUUUUUAUUUUCAGUGUAAAGUUUCUGCAUUCUAGCAGCUGCUAGUUCUUAGAAGGUGGUGCUUCUGGCUAGUCCUCUUAGCUAUAGGAGGUGGAAGGUUGGUCUACAACCAACUUUAAGACAAUCUACCAUGAACUUUGAGACAAUCUACCAUGAACUUCAAGAUGAUCUACAUGAACUACGAGAAGAUCUACACAAACUUUGAGAUGAUCUACACGAACCUCGAGACAAUGUACAUGAACCUUGAGAUGAUCUACACAAACUUCGAGGCGAUCUACACGAACUCCAAGAUGAUCUACACGAACUUCAAAUCAAUCUACCAAGAACUUUGAGACAAUCUAUGUGAACUUCAAGACAAUCUACCACAAACUGCUAGACAGUCUACCAUGAACUACAAGACACUCAACACAAACUUCAAGACAAUUUACACGAACUUUGAGACAAUCUACAUGAACGUCAAGAUAAUCUACCAUGAACUUCAAGACAAUCUACAUGAACUUGUAGACAGUCACAUGAACUUUGAAACAAACUGCAUGAACUUUGAGACAAUCUACAUGCACUUCUAGACAAUCUAACAUGAACUUCGAGACAAUCUACCACAAACUGCUAGACAAUCUACCAUGAACCACAAGACAAUCUAACACAAACUUCAAGACAAUCUACAUGAACUAUUAGACAAUCUACAUGAAUUCUGAGACAAUCUACAUUAACUUUGAGAAAAACGGCAUGAACUUUGAGGCAAUCUACUAUGAACCUGGAAACAAUUUACCACGAAUUUCAAGACAAUCUACACAAACUUAUGACAAUGUACCAUGAGCCUCAAGACAAUCUACCACAAACUUCGAGGCAAUCUAAAGGAACAUCAAGACAAUCUAUAUGAACUUCAAAAAAAUCUACAUGAGCUUUGAGACAAUCUACUCGAACUUUAAGACAAUCUAUAUGAGCUUCAAGACAAUCUACACAAGCUUCAAGAGAAUCAACAUGAGCUUUGAGACAAUUUUCAUGACCUUUGAGACAAUCUACAUGAGCUUCAAGACAACCUAUAUGAGAUUCGAGACAAUCUACCAUGAGCUUUGAGACAAUCUACAUGAGCUUCAAGACAACCUAUAUGAGAUUCGAGACAAUCUGCACGAGCUUUGAGACAAUCAACCACAGGCUUUGAGACAAUCUAUGUGAGCUUCAAGACAAUCUAUGUGAGCUUCGAGACAAUCUACAUGAGCUUCAAGACAAUCUACAUGAGCUUCAAGACAAUAUACACAAGCUUAGAGAGAAUCUACAUGAGCUUCAAGACAAUCUUCAUGAGCUUUGAGACAAUCUACAUGAGAACGGAGACAAUCUACCAUGAGCUUUGAGACAAUCUAUGUGAGCUUCAAGACAAUCUAUCACGAGCUUUGAGACAAUCUACAUGAGCUUUGAGACAAUCUACCACAAGCUUAGAGACAAUUUACACGAGCUUUGAGACAUCUAUACGAACUUUGAGAUAAUCUGUAUGAGCUUCAAGACAAUCUACCAUGAGCUUUGAGACAAUCUACAUGAGCUUUGAGACAAUCUACACAAACUUCAGGACAAUUUACACAAACUUUGAGACAAUCUACCACAAAGUUAGAAACAAUCUACCACAAAGUUCAAGACAAUCUACACAAACUUUGAAACAAUCUACACCAACUCCAAGACAAUCUACAGGAACUUUGAGACAAUCUACAUGAACUUUAAGACAAUCUACCCCUAACUUCGAGACAAUCUACACGAACUUCGAGAUAAUCCAAAUAGGCAUCAGCCAAUCUGCUAAGGGCCCCAGUAGAACAGAAAGGUAGAGAAAAGACAUUUUUCUCUUUCUUCUGGAGCUUGGACAUCCUUUUUCUUCUGUCCUCACACAUCUGAACUCUAGGUUCUUGGGCUUUUGGACUCUAGAAUUUACACCAGUGGCCCUGCAGGUUCUCAGGGCCUUUAGCCGUGGACUGAGUUACACCAUCAACUCCCCUAGUUCUUACUUCCUUGGACUCAGAUUGAGUUAAGCACUGGCUUCACUGAUUCUCCAACUUAUGGUACUUAUUACUUCUGUAACUGCAUAAACCAAUUUCCAUUAAAAAUCGCAUAUAUAUAUAUACACACCUGUAUGUGUAUAUAUAUCUAUAUCUAUGCAUCUUCUCUUGGUUCUGUCUCUCUGGAGAGCCCUAAUACAGGUAACAAUCUUAGAUACAGGUGGGAGGUUGGUCUACCACCAACUCUGAGACAAUCUAACACGAACUUUGAGAUGAUCUGCCACGAACUUCUGGAUGAUCUACACAAGCUUUGAGACAAUCUACAUGAACUUUGAGACAAUCUACACUAACUUUGAGAUGAUCUGCAAGAACUUUGAGACAAUCCACAUGAACUUUGAGAUGAUCUACACAAACCCUGAGACAAUCUACACAAAUUUUGAGGCAAUCUAUACAAACUUUCAGACAAUCUACAGAAACUUUGAGACAAUCUACAUCAACUUCAAGAAGAUCUACACAAACUUUGAGAUGAUCUUCACAAACUUUGAGAAGAUCUACACAAACUUUGAGAUGAUCAACAUGAACCUUGAGAUGAUCUAUAUGAACUUCAAGAUGAUCUACAUGAACUUCAAGACAAUCAACACAAACCAAGAGAUGAUCUACACGAACCUCGAGAUGAUCUACACAAACCUUGAGCAAUCUACAUGAAACUUGAAACAAUCUACAUGAAUUUGGAGAUGAUCUACAUGAACUUCGAGACAACAUUAACCUUGAGACGAUCUACAUGAACCUCAACAAAAACUAAACAAACCUCAAGACAAUCUACACGUACUUUGACACAAACUACACAAUCCUCAAGACGCUCUACGCAAACUUCGAGACGCUCUACACAAAAUUCAAGAUGAUCUACACAAACUUUUAGAUGAUCUAUACAAAUUUUGAGAUAAUCUACAGGAUAGUCGAUACAAUCUGCAUGAGCUUUGAGACAAUCUACCAUGAACUUCAAGGCAAUCUACACCAACUUUGAGAACUUUGAGACAUGAACUUAGAGACAAUCUCCACAAACUUUGAAAUAAUCUACCAGAACUUCAAGACAAUCUACACGAACUUCAAGACAAUCUACACAAACUUUGAAACACUCUACAGAAACUUUGAGACAAUCUAAAUGAAUCUCAAGACAAUCUACAUGAACUUGGAGAUGAUCUACACAAAUUUCGAGAUAAUCUACAGGAUAGUCGAUACAAUCUGCAUGAGCUUCGAGACAAUCUACACCAACUUUGAGAACUUUGAGACACAAACUUGGAGAGACUCUCCACAAACUUUGAGAUACUCUAUAGGAACUUUGAGACAAUCUACCUGAGCUUUAAGACAAUCUACCAUGAACUUUGAGACAAUCUACACAACGUUCAAGAAAAUCUAUCAAAAACUUUGAUACAAUCUACCAUGAGCUUUGAUACAAUUACCAUGAGCUUUGACACAUUCUACCAUGAGUUUCGAGACAAUCUAUUAUGGGCUUUGAGACUCCACCACAAACUUUGACACAAUCUACCACGAGCUUCCAGACAAUCUACCACAAACUUUGAUAUAAUCUACACGAACUUCAAGACAGACUACAUGACCUUUGAGACAAUCUAAAUGAAUUUUGAGGCAAAUUACACAAACUUUGAGACAAACUACACGAACUUUGAGACAAUCUACCAUGAACUUUGAAACAAAUUACCAUGAACUUCGAAACAAAUCUACACAAACUUCGAGACAAUCUACAUGAACUUCAAGACAAUCUACAUGAAGUUUGAGACAGUAUAUCACAAACUUCAAGACAAUCUACCAUGAACUUCGAGACAAUCUAAAGGAACUUCGAGACAAUCUACACAAACUUUGAAAAAAUCUACAUGAGGUUUGAGAUACAUGAGCUUUAACACAAUCUACACAAGCUUUGAGACAAUCUACAUGAGCUUUGAGACAAUCUACAUGAGCUUUGAGACAAUCUACAUGUGCUUUGAGACAAUAUACACAAGUGUUGAGACAAUCUAUACGAGCUUCAAGACAAUCUAACACAAGCUUCGAGACAUCUAUGUGGUCUUCGAGACAAUCUACUAUAUGGGCUUUGAGACAAUUUACACAAGCUUUGAGACGAUCUAUGCAAGCUUCGAGACAAUCUAUGCUGGCUUCUAGACAAUCAAUGCUGGCUUCAUGACAAUCUAUGCUAGCUUUGAGACAAUCCACACUGGCUUAGAGGCAAUGUGUAUAUGUGGGCUUCAAGACAAUCUAUCUAAACAGGCUUCAAGACAAUCUACAUAGGAUUCGACACAAUCUAUGCAGGCUUUGAGACAAUCUAUUGUGGCUUUGAGUCAAUCUACUCUGGCUUCAAGACUAUCUAGACAGGCUUUGAGAUAAUCUGCGUGGGCUUCAAGACAAUCUAUGCGGGCUUCAAUAAAAUCUACAUGGGCUCUGAGAAAAUCUACAUGGGCUUUGAGACAAUCAAUGCUGGCUUCAAGACAAUCUACGCAAGCUUUGGGACAAUCUAUGCAAGAUUCAAGACUAUCUAUGUGGGCUUCAAGAAAAUCCCUCUAAAAAGGCUUUGAGACAAUCUACCCGGGCUUUGAGACAAUCUACAGGGGCUUCAAGACAAUCUAUGCAGGUUUUGAGACAAUAUAUUUACAUGGGCUUUGAGACAAUCUACGCAGGCUUCAACACAAUCUACGCGGGCUUCAAGACAAUCUAUGCAGGUUUUGAGACAAUAUAUUUACAUGGGCUUUGAGAAAAUCAACAUGAAAUCCAAGACAAUCUAUGUGGGCCUGAGACAAUCUAUCUAUGUGGGCUUUGAAACAAUCUAUGCAGACUUUGAGACAAUCUAUCUAUGAAAGCUUCAAGACAAUCAAUGCAGGCUUCAAGACAAUGUAUGCCGGAUUUGAGACAAUCUAUGCUGGCUUUAACAAAAUCUAUAUAUACGGGCUUCGAGACAGAUUCUAUCCACGUGAGCUUUGAGACAAUCUAUGUGGGCUUCAAGACAAUCUACGGGGACUUCAAGACAAUCUCUCUAUGUGGGCUUUGAGAAUUUCUAUGCUGGCUUCAAGUCAAUCUACGCUUUGAGACAAUCUGUGCUGGCUUCGAGCCAAUCUACGCUGGCUAUGAGACAAUGUAUAUACACAAGCUUCAAGGCAAUCUAUCUACAUGGGUUUCAAGAUAAUCUACACAAGCUUUGAGACAAUCUAUGAAGGCUUUGAGACAAUUUAUCUACAUGGGCUUUGAGACAAUCUACGCCAAGUUUUGAGACAAUCUACGCAGGCUUGAAGGUAAUCUAUGCCAGCUUCAAGGCAAUCAGUGCUGGCUUCAGGGCAAUCUACUCUACCUUCAAGACAAUCUAUGCUGGCUUAUAUAGAGAGUAUAUAUACAGGCUUCAAAACAAUCUAUGCAGGCUUCCAGGCAGUCAGUGCUGGCUUCAGGACAAUCCACACUGGCUUGAAGACAGUCUACACUAGCCUAGAGACAAUGUAUAUCGGCGGGCUUUGAGACUAUCUACAUGAGCUUCAAGACAAUCUGUCUAUGCAGUGUUCGAGAAAAUCUACCAGGGCUAUGAGACAUUCAACGUGGGAUUUGAGACAAUCUGUGCAGGCCUCAAGGAAAUCAAUGUGGGCAACGAGACGAUAUACUUGGGCUUUGAGAUAACUAUCUAUGUGGGCUUUGAGACAAUCUACGUAGGUGUCUAGACAAUCUACAUGGGAUUUGAGACAACUUAUAUAGGUGGGCUUCAAGACAAUCUACACUCUCUUGAGAAUAUCUACGCCAGCUUUGAGACAAUCUAUGCAGGCUUCAAGAAAAUCUAUGCGGUUUUUGAGAUAAUCUAUCUAAGGAGGCAUCAAGACAAUCUACACAGGCUUUGAGACAGUAUACGUGGGCUUCAAGACAAUCUAUCUAUGUGGGCUUUGAGACAAUCUACGAGGGCUUCAAGAAAAUCUACAUGAGCUUCAAGACAAUAAACGCAGCCUUCAACACAAUCUACGUUAGCUUUGAGACAAUGUAUCAAUGCAGGCAUCGAGACAAUACACACUGGCUUUGAAAAAAUCUAUGUGGGUUUCAAGACAAUCUAUGCUGCCUUCAAGACAAUCUACACAGCAUUGAGAUUGCUGGCUUCAAGACAAUCUACACUGGCCUCGAGAUGAUCUAUGCUGGCUUUGAGGCAAUCUAUGCUGGCUUCAAGACAAUCUACAUGCUUGCAGUCAACCUACACAGGCUUUGAGACAAUCUACACUGGCUUCGGGGUAAUCUACGCUGGCUUCAAGACAAUCUACACUGCCUCAAGUCAAUCUACACUGGCUUCGAGAAAAUCUAUGCUGGAUUUGAGUCAAUCUAUGAUGGCUUCAAGACAAUGAACGCUGGCUUCUUUUCAAUCUAUGUUGCUUUGAGAGAAUCUAUGCUGGCUAAGAGAUAAUCUACAUUGGUUUUGAGUCAAUCUGCGAUGGCUUCAAGACAAACUAUGCUGGCAUUGAAACAAUCUACAUUGGCUUCAUGUCUAUCUAUGUUGGCUUCAAGAUAAUCUACACUGGCUUCAAAAAAAUCUAUGCUGGCUUCUAGACAAUCUACACUGCUUUCAAAAAUAUUUAUGCUGCCUUCAAGACAAUCUACUCUGGCCUCAAGAGAAUCUACACUGGCUUCUUGUCAAUCUGCGCUGGCUAUGAGACAAUCUACUCUGGCUUUGAGACAAUUAACACUGGUUUUGAGGCAAUCUAUGCUGGCUUCAAGACAAUCUACACUGACUUCGAGUCAAUCUACACUGCCUUUGAGACAAUCUGUGUGGGGGCUUUGAGACAAUCAAUGCUGGCUUUGAGUCAAUCUAUGCUGGCUUUGAGACAGUCUACACUGGCUUUGAGACAAUCUAUGCUGGCUUCAAAAAAAUCCAUGCUGUCUUACAGACAAUCCACACUGGCUUUGAGACAAUCUACGCUGACUUUGAGGCAAUCUACACUGCCUUCAAGACAAUCUAUGCUGGCUUCAAAAUAUCUACGCUGGCUUCAAGACAACCUAUGCUGGAUUUGAGGCAAUUUACAGUGGCUUUGAGUCUAUCUACACUGGCUUUGAGAUAAUCUACCCAGGCUUUGAGACAUUCAACACGGGUUUUGAGGCAAUCUAUGCUGACUUUGAGACAAUCUAUGCUGGCUUUGAGACAAUCUAGCCCGGCCUCGAGUCAAUCUACAUUGGCUUCAACACAACUUACGCUGGCUUCUAGAUAAUCAACGCUAACUUCAUUUCAAUCUAUGCUGACUUCAAGACAAUUUAUGCUGGCUCCAAAACAAUCUAUGCACUUCGAGUCAAUCUAUGCUGGCUUUGAGACAAUCUACACUGCCUUAGACGCAAUCUAUACUGGCUUUGAGACAACAUAUACUAGCUUUGAGGCAAUCAAUGCUGGCUUUGUGUCUUUCGAUGCUGGCUUUGAGAUAAUAUACACUGGCUUUGAGGCAAUAUAUGCUGUCUUCAAGACAAUAUAUGCUGGCUUUUAAAAAAUCUAUGUUAAUGUUGGGGCAAUCUACGCUGGCUUUAUAACAACAUAUGCUGGCUUUGAGACAAUCUAUGCUGGCUUUGAGGCAAUCCACACUGGCUUCAAGACAAUCUGCCCUUACUUUAAGGCAAUCUAUGCUUCCUUUGAGACAAUCUACGCCAGCUUCGAGACAAUCUAUGUUGGCUUUGAGACAAUUAACACUGGCUUUGUAAGGCAAUCUAUGCUGGCUUCAAGACAAUCUACGCUGGCUUUGAAAAAAUCUACACUGGCUUUGAGAAAAUCUUUGCUGGCUUUUAGACAAUUAACACUGGUUUAGAGGCAAUCUAUACUGCCUUCGAGACAAUCUACGCUGGCUUCAAGUCAAUCUAUGCUAACUUUGAGAUAAUAUAUGUUGGUUUCAAGAUAACACUGGCUUCAAGGCAAUCUACACUGGCUUGGAGACAAUCUACGCUGAAUUGGAGUCAAUCAACACUGGUUUUGCGUCAUUCUAUGAUGGAUUUGAGAUAAUCUACACUGGCUUCGAGACAAUCAAUGUUGGCUUUGAGGCGAUUUAUGCUGGCUUUGAGGCAAUAAACGUUGACUUCCAGACAAUCUACGCUGGCAUCAAGACAAUCUACACUGAAUUGAAGUCAUUCAAUGCUGGCUUUGUGUCAUUCUACACUGGCUUUGAGACAAUCUACACUGGCUUUGAGGCAAUAUAUGCUGGCUUUGAGACAAUAUAUGCUUGCUUCGAGACAAUCUACACUUGUUUAGAGACAAUGUAUGUAUACCGGCUUCAAGACAAUCUAUCUAUGUUGCUUUGAGACACUCUACACUGGCUUUGAGACAAUCUACACUUGUUUAGAGACAAUGUAUGUAUACCGGCUUCAAGACAAUCUAUCUAUGUUGCUUUGAGACAAUCUACACAGCUUUGAGAUGAUCUAUGUGGGCUUCAAAACAAUCUAUACAACCUUCAAGACAAUCUAUGUGGGCUAUGAGAAAAUCUAUGUGGCCAGUGAGCCAAUCUAUGCCAGCUUUGAGAACAUAUAUCUAUGUGUGCUUCGAGACAAUCAACACAAACUUUGAGACAAUCUAUGUGGGCUUUGAGAUAAUCUAUCUCCAUGGGCUUCAAGAUUAUCUAUCUAUGUGAGCUUGUAGACAUAUCUAUGCAAGCUUGAGACAAUCUAUGCAGGUUUUGAGACAAUCUACACUGGCUUCAAGACAAUGUAUAUGUGCAGGCUUUGCGACAAUCUACAUGGGCUUCAAGACAAUAUAUGCUGGCUUUGAGACAAAAUGCUGGCUUGAGACAAUCACUUCUGGCUUCGAGACAAUCUACACUGGUUUAGAGACAAUGUAUGCACACAUGCUUUGAGACAAGCUAUCUAUACAGGCUUGAAGACAGUCUACGCAAGCUUUUAGACAAUCUACACAGACUUUGAAACUAUCUACAAGAGCUUUGAGACAAUCUAUAUCAGCUGUGAGACAAUCUAUCUAGGCAGGCUUCGAGACAGUUUACUUGAGCUUUGAGAAAAUCAUUCCAUAUGUGCUUCCAAACAAUAUACUCUGGCUUUGAGACAAUCUACACUGGCUUCGAGAAUAUCUACACAUGCUUCAAGACAACCUACACCCUCUUUGAGAAAAUCUACCCCAAGUUCGAGACCAUAUAUCUACACGGGCUUUGAGACAAUAUAUCUACACAAGCUUUGAGACAAUAUGUGCAAGCUACCAGACAAUUUAUGUGGGCAAUGAGCCAAUCUAUGUAGGCUUCAAGAAUAUGUAUCUACUCAGGCUUCAAAACAAUCAACACAGACUUUGAGACAACCUACACAAGCUUUGAGACAAUCUAUUUACACAGGCAUUGCGACAAUUUACGUGGGCUACGAGACAAUCUACGCUGGCUUCAAGAUGAUCUACACUAGCUUAGACACAAUCUAUAUAUGCAGGGUUUGAGACAAUCUAUCCACGCCUACAGAGAACCAGCUUGGUCGUGAGACCCCCACCCAGGCAGUGCUGAAGGUAUUUGAGACAAUCUGCACCAUCUCUGAGACAAUCUACAUGAGCUUUGAGACAACCUACUACAAACUUCAAGACAAUCUACAUGAACUUUGAGACAAUCUACAUGAACUUCAAGACAAUCUACACGAACUUCUAGACAAUCUACACGAACUUCCAGACAAUCUACCACAAACUUUGAGACAAUCUACAUGAACUUUGAGAUAAUCAACCAUGAACUUCAAGACAAUCUACACAAACUUUGAGACAAUCUACACAAACUUCAAGACAAUCUACCACAAACUUUGAGACAAGCUACAUGAACUUCAAGAUGAUCUACCAUGAACUUCGAGACAAUCUACACGAACUUCGUGACAAUCUACACAAACUUCAUGACAAUCUACAUGAACUUUAUGACAAUCAACCAUGAUCUUCAAGACAAUCUACCACAAACUUCAUGACAAUCUAUGCAAACAUUGAGAAAAUCUAUGUGAACUUCAAGACAAUCUACAUGAACUUGGAGACAAUCUUUGUGAACUUCAUGACAAUCUACACGAACUCUGUGACAAUCAACCAUGAACUUCAAGACAAUCUACACGAACUUCCAGACAAUUUACACAAACUCCAAGACAAUCUACACAAACU